GCCCGCACGUACGUCGUCGGCGAUCCGAGGCCGGGGGCGGCUCCCGAGGCCGGCGGGGCCGAGGGUCCCACCUCCGCUCGGAGGAAGCGCCGCCUCCCCGCCGUCUAGGGCCCUCGCCAAGUGGCUGCUAACAAAGCCCAGGGCCCUGCUGGGGGUAGUUGAGUGACAAAGUCGUGUCUGCUCUGCCCGCUCUCGCGGCUGCACGUUUCUCCACUCGUCCCGCGAAGCCGGAGCUGACAAGGCGGGAAAGUCACCGGCCGGAGCGUGGCAGGCCCGGGGUCACGUCUGGAGGCUGCCAUGUACUUGAAAGCCCCUUUGUGAAUUCAGCUAACCCUAAUUCUCCAGACAGAGUUGGAAAUUCACGAUCCAUCAACAAAAACCAGCCCCAACUGAGUCAGCCCGCGAGUUCUGCCCUCCUCUGCUACCUGCCUUGUUGGCACACCUGCCACUUUAACCAAUUCUGAGUAGAAAGAGGAGGAACGGGCCAAAUCCAUUCUGUACACUAACAGGUGACUUCAUUGGGAAAAUGCAGACGCUACCGAGGACCAACUGUGCUUCAGCCACUGGGCUUACAAACACAAAACUGCCCUGAUGAUCUACCCAAUAAAGAUGAAUGUGAAACACUCA
Molecule: non-coding RNA, 627 nt
Organism: Oryctolagus cuniculus (rabbit)
Lineage: Eukaryota; Metazoa; Chordata; Mammalia; Lagomorpha; Leporidae
Source: RefSeq, a predicted model, not a curated record